CCCAUCAAUGCAUCGCAUGCUACAUCCAUUUUCUAAAUCGUUACCAGAGGCAGCUGUUUCUCCAUGUAAUUCUUUCCUCACUGUUAUUCCUCGGUUAAUUGUCCUCCCUUCAGGAAGGUCCUCCCGCGAGCAGACCGCGAAGGCUCCUCAUUCUCCUUCAACUGCGUCAUCUUCACCCUCCUCUCCGGCUAGGAUGCUUCACCUUGUUUCACCCUCUCAGCUAUCGAGCCUUCCUUGGACGACUGGUACCGCGGCCUUGGUCUGUUCGUCGUCUC
Molecule: long non-coding RNA, 275 nt
Filed under: Spirodela polyrhiza (greater duckweed)
Lineage: Eukaryota; Viridiplantae; Streptophyta; Magnoliopsida; Alismatales; Araceae
Description: long non-coding RNA (SPOL_LNC000324)
Source: RNAcentral